This 250-nucleotide ribosomal RNA is filed under the name uncultured bacterium. Its description in RNAcentral is "partial 16S ribosomal RNA". It matches the Rfam family "Bacterial small subunit ribosomal RNA", at positions 524 to 773 of the family's 1533-position model. The record is from RNAcentral.
UACAGAGGGGGCAAGCGUUAUUCGGAAUUAUUGGGCGUAAAGGGCGCGUAGGCGGCCUGGCAAGUGGAAGGUGAAAUCCCUCGGCUUAACCGAGGAACUGCCCUCCAAACUGCUUGGCUUGAGUCCGGGAGAGGUGAGUGGAAUUCCCAGUGUAGCGGUGAAAUGCGUUGAGAUCGGGAGGAACGCCCGUGGCGAAAGCGAGGUCCUGGACGCCGCCUGACGCUGAGACGCGCAAAGCCAGGGACGAGGC